UAAUGUUUAAGCAAGGUUUUAGGUUGUUUCUUACUUUUAUUAUUUGGUAUUGGGUAUUUUAAAUAAAAUAUUAUAUUUUAUGGGAUAAGUAUAGUAGUGAACAUUUAGUUUAGGUUAUAGUUUAGUUUUGUACCGUAGGGGGCUGGCACGUAUUUAAUGAAAAGAAGGAGUUAAUUUUUGUACCUUUUGUAUCAGGGAUGAUCAAAAUAUUUGGCUUAUUAGUUAAGGUCUCGAAGUGAAAUGAGUAAAUAUAUUAUUAUUGUUUAUGUAGAAGAAUAAAAUUAUUAAUAAUAUUUUGGUGAUGAAAUGUCAGUCGAUUUUCAUAUAUCUAGUUUUUUUUGAAACAAAUUUAAUUUGAUCUUUUAUUUAAAGAUGUAAGAGUUGUAUCUCAAGAGGGAAUAGCUUCUUGGGUGAUGUGUAGGGUGAAAAAGUUAUUUGUCUUUUAUUUAGGCUUAAAGUCAGCCAUAUUUUUAAAUCGUUCUAGGUAAUAAGUUUAUUAAUAAUUAUUUAUAUGUUGCUUACUAAUCACGAAUAAAAAAAAUUUUAUUUUAAUUUAUUUAAUAAUUUUAUAAUGAUUGUAUUAGUAUUAGAAUUUUGUGAGUUAAAAAAGUUAAACUUUUAAGUUUAAAUAUAUGAAGUAGCCGGUUACAAUUAAGGAACUCGGCAAAUUUUACCUCUGCCUGUUUAUCAAAAACAUGUCUGUGCGGAGUUAGUGCACAGUCUGGCCUGCCCCCUGAAAACUUUAAAGGGCCGCGGUAUUUGAACCGUGCUAAGGUAGCAUAAUAAAUAGUCUUUUAAUUGAGGUCUAGGAUGAAUGGUUGGACAGGAGGCAAUCUGUUUUAAUUGUAAUGUUUGAAUUUUACUUCUAAGUGAAAAGGCUUAGAUUGGAUGGUGGGACGAUAAGACCCUAUAAAGCUUUACAUUUUAUUUUUAGGUUAAAGAAUUUAUGGUUUUUUAUUCUUAUUUAAUAGUAUGUUUCGUUGGGGCGACGAGAAUAUAAAAUAUUAACUGUUUUUUUAUAAAAAUAAGUUUUUUAGGAGAUUUGAUCCUUUAUAGAGAUUAAGAGAGUUAAGUUACUUUAGGGAUAACAGCGUAAUUUUUCUUGAGAGUUCAUAUCGACAGAAGUAGUUGCGACCUCGAUGUUGAAUUAAGAUACCUCCCAGGUGCAGCAGCUUUGGUGGUGGGUCUGUUCGACCCUUAAAAUCUU
RNAcentral lists this ribosomal RNA (1207 nucleotides) under Lancaris singhalensis. RNAcentral's name for it is "partial 16S ribosomal RNA". The stretch from base 891 to 1207 matches the Rfam family "Archaeal large subunit ribosomal RNA", at positions 2154 to 2668 of the family's 2987-position model. The record is from RNAcentral. Lineage: Eukaryota; Metazoa; Arthropoda; Malacostraca; Decapoda; Atyidae.